This is a long non-coding RNA of Oncorhynchus tshawytscha (Chinook salmon), 1263 nucleotides long. NCBI's taxonomy places the organism in Eukaryota, Metazoa, Chordata, Actinopteri, Salmoniformes, Salmonidae. The record is from Ensembl.
UGGCCAUGAGGCCUUUCAUUUGGUUUUUGAAUCUUUAGUUUAGGCAUGCCUGUCUGUGGUUUCCUUAUUGUAUAUGUUCAGUCACCAUCUGAACAAACGAUAAUCUGCUUGGAACGGCCAACCAAGAGGUCGAGAGAGACAGAGCUGGCCCUGGAACAAGGUCACUGUAAGCCCCCAGCCCCCAUGGGAAGGUGUUUCGUCGAUAUGAAGCAGGGAGGACAGGGGAAGAGUGAGGAGAGCGAGAGAGGGGGAGGAUCGAGGGUGAAGACGGCGAAGACAGAGAGCGAGCGAGGGAGGAAAGGAGAAAGGGGAACAUGGUGAAACAGCUGAGUCCAGUGUUCUACUCUCUUUAUUCCUGAUGACUCCCAGAUGUUUCAUGAAACUCCACUGAUACUCUGUCUUGCUCUCUGGCCCUGGAUGGGCUUGCAGUACCACUCUCAGGACAUGUCCUCUUAUUUAAUCAGAUAUUCCCUCUUCCCCUCUUUCUCCUUCCCUCUUUCAUCCUCUCAAUAAUAUCCCUUGGAUGACAGGCAUGCUUUGAAAUUUUUGUGGACUUUUAUACAUUCUUAAAGCAGAGUCUUCGCUUGAACAGAAUAGAUGGAUGCCAUGGACAGUGUGUUAGUUUUUUUGUCACAUCGUUGAAGCUGACCCCAGUACCGGAUCAUGCUCUACUGGGAGUGUGUAGUGACUGGGCUGUGAUGAGUCUGCUUUGUGUGUCAUACGGUUCUCUACUAUUGUGUGUAUGAUGGGGCUUAGUUAAGCAUACUGUAUUUUUCCCCUGGAGGAACAACAGGAGGAGAAGAGGAGGUUCUGGAACAUAUUUUGGCCCCAUCACAGCUCUCAUCAGGGGCCGAUUCCAUGUAAAUGAAAACAGCUUGUCUGAAGUCUCCUGGGGUUUGAGUACAAUUCCCAAAACGCAUGUACCCACACACACGCACAGACACACACAGACGUCACAUUCUGAGGUAGCUUGUUAAUAUUGAAGAACACAGUCGAAGUGCUCUGCCUUUGUUUUUUUUUGUCAACCACCUUAAAAAAACAAAACUUCUUUCCACUAUUUCUAGUUGUAGUUGUUUUUUUGGGAGCCGUAUCACUAGGUACCGACUGGUUAACAUUUUCUCAUAAACCCGCUCUGUUGAGGAAUGUUUAUUUCUCUGUUUCCACUGUAUUGUCCAGGAGCCAUUUCACAGAGCAGAAAGAGUGUUUGUCAGUACUGAGGGAGGGAGUGGGACUAUAAUUGUUUUCAUUUUGGUAGAGGUCCGG